This 586-nucleotide ribosomal RNA is filed under the name uncultured Shewanella sp. RNAcentral describes it as "bacterial SSU rRNA". It matches the Rfam family "Bacterial small subunit ribosomal RNA", at positions 235 to 813 of the family's 1533-position model. Lineage: Bacteria; Pseudomonadati; Pseudomonadota; Gammaproteobacteria; Alteromonadales; Shewanellaceae. The record is from RNAcentral.
GUGGGAUUAGCUAGUUGGUGAGGUAAUGGCUCACCAAGGCGACGAUCCCUAGCUGUUCUGAGAGGAUGAUCAGCCACACUGGGACUGAGACACGGCCCAGACUCCUACGGGAGGCAGCAGUGGGGAAUAUUGCACAAUGGGGGAAACCCUGAUGCAGCCAUGCCGCGUGUGUGAAGAAGGCCUUCGGGUUGUAAAGCACUUUCAGUAGGGAGGAAAGGGUGUGGUUUAAUACGCUAUAUCUGUGACGUUACCUACAGAAGAAGGACCGGCUAACUCCGUGCCAGCAGCCGCGGUAAUACGGAGGGUCCGAGCGUUAAUCGGAAUUACUGGGCGUAAAGCGUGCGCAGGCGGUUUGUUAAGCGAGAUGUGAAAGCCCUGGGCUCAACCUAGGAAUAGCAUUUCGAACUGGCGAACUAGAGUCUUGUAGAGGGGGGUAGAAUUCCAGGUGUAGCGGUGAAAUGCGUAGAGAUCUGGAGGAAUACCGGUGGCGAAGGCGGCCCCCUGGACAAAGACUGACGCUCAUGCACGAAAGCGUGGGAAGCAAACAGGAUUAGAUACCCUGGUAGUCCACGCCGCAAACGAUGUC